RNAcentral lists this ribosomal RNA (177 nucleotides) under uncultured bacterium. Its description in RNAcentral is "partial 16S ribosomal RNA". It matches the Rfam family "Bacterial small subunit ribosomal RNA", at positions 524 to 704 of the family's 1533-position model. The record is from RNAcentral.
UACGAAAGGUGCAAGCGUUGUUCGGAAUAACUGGGCGUAAAGCGCUCGUAGGCGGGAGUUCAGGUCGAUUGUGAAAUCCCAGGGCUCAACCUUGGAACUGCAGCGAAACGGACUUCUUGAAUACUCGAGAGGGUGGGGAAUUCUAGUGGAGAAGUGAAAUUCGUAGAGAUUAAGAAG